CUAAACAUGACUGCUGACGGGACAAAAUAAGAAAGGGAGAUGUUGAGGAGAAAGGUACCAAUGAUUGGCUUAAAGACGCCAUUUCGGGAUGGCUUGUUAAGACAUGUUGCUGAAGAUGUUCUAAAGCUGGCUAAGGAUGGCUUGGAAAGAAAAAGUUACAAAGAAUCUGGAUUUCUGAGAGAAGUGGCUGAGGUGGUUAAUUCAGG
This is a long non-coding RNA of Asparagus officinalis (garden asparagus), 206 nucleotides long. RefSeq lists it as uncharacterized. The transcript is spliced from 3 exons. The record is from RefSeq and is a predicted model, not a curated record. NCBI's taxonomy places the organism in Eukaryota, Viridiplantae, Streptophyta, Magnoliopsida, Asparagales, Asparagaceae.